UGACCCUUUUUAAGCCGAGGGUCACCUAGCCAACUGACGUUGUUAGUGAACCUAUUUUGUUCACACUUGUAUAUAGCCAGUCACACGUAAUUCGUGGCUGGCUUUUUUUCU
Molecule: small RNA, 111 nt
Filed under: Vibrio maritimus
Lineage: Bacteria; Pseudomonadati; Pseudomonadota; Gammaproteobacteria; Vibrionales; Vibrionaceae
Description: Vibrio sp. R-40493 Qrr RNA
Rfam family: Qrr RNA
About the family: This family represents a set of small RNAs (the Qrr RNAs) that are thought to be involved in the regulation of quorum sensing in Vibrio species. It is believed that these RNAs, guided by a protein, Hfq, can mediate the destabilisation of the quorum-sensing master regulators LuxR/HapR mRNAs.
Source: Rfam by way of RNAcentral